GGCCACAGCCACAUCACCCUGCUACCCAAGACCGGUUACUCACUGAAGCUAAGCAGGAAUGAGCCUGGUCAGUACCUGAAUGGGAGAUCAACUAGAUUGCUGUUGGAAGUGGUGU
RNAcentral lists this ribosomal RNA (115 nucleotides) under Danio rerio (zebrafish). Lineage: Eukaryota; Metazoa; Chordata; Actinopteri; Cypriniformes; Danionidae. The record is from RNAcentral.